RNAcentral lists this ribosomal RNA (392 nucleotides) under uncultured bacterium. RNAcentral's name for it is "partial 16S ribosomal RNA". It matches the Rfam family "Bacterial small subunit ribosomal RNA", at positions 523 to 918 of the family's 1533-position model. The record is from RNAcentral.
AUACGGAGGAUCCGAGCGUUAUCCGGAUUUAUUGGGUUUAAAGGGUGCGCAGGCGGCCAUUUAAGUCAGCGGUUAAAUCGUGGGGCUCAACCCCAUUCUGCCGUUGAUACUGGGUGGCUUGAUUGCGGUCGAGGUUGGCGGAAUUCGUUGUGUGGCGGUGAAAUGCAUAGAUAUGACGAAGAACACCGAUUGCGUAGGCAGCUGACCAGACCGCAAAUGACGCUCAUGCACGAAAGUGCGGGGAUCGAACAGGAUUAGAUACCCUGGUAGUCCGCACAGUAAACGAUGAAUACUUGUUUUCGGCGAUAUAAUGUCGGAGGCAAGGCGAAAGCGAUAAGUAUUCCACCUGGGGAGUACGCCGGCAACGGUGAAACUCAAAUGAAUUGACGGGG